RNAcentral lists this long non-coding RNA (360 nucleotides) under Mytilus galloprovincialis (Mediterranean mussel). Lineage: Eukaryota; Metazoa; Mollusca; Bivalvia; Mytilida; Mytilidae. The record is from RNAcentral.
AACAAAUAUUAUCUGCUCGUACUACAUGCGCAUUAGAUUGUGUCCCAAUUAGUUGACUUUAGGGGUAAAUUUUUGUCAGUUUUGAUUUUUCACAAAGUAAUUUUCUUCUUUUUCUAUUUUUGUUUGCACUCAGCCACUGAAGUUGGAAUGCGUCAACACGCUUGCUAGAUAUGAGAAAGAGGGGGAAAUGGAAAAUAGAGAAUAACCGUGUGUUGAAAUAUCAAGAAUAGAAAUAAAAGGCAAAUCAAUAAGAAAGAGAAAAAGGAGUAUACAAGUUUUAUCUAAAAGAUUAUGAACUCCCAUCCAUAGUAUACCCAUUGGCGGAUCCCGAGAAAUUUUCAUAAGUAGGGGCCCACUGAC